UGUAACAGGCUUACCCUAACUGAUCAAUCGACCUCGUGACACUGCGCUCUGUAACCUUGUGAUAACCUACCUUGUGACAUUCUUCCCCUGCCCGCAAUAAACGGCUCCUAACUAACUUUCCGGUGCUUACCUCUAACCGAUAACACUAGCUCCAACCCACCACCCUCCACUGACUUCCUUCGCACUCAGCCCACUCGCACCCUGGUGAAUAAACAGACUUGUUGCUCACACUUAGCCUGUUCAGGUUGUCUCUUCAAUUAGAUGUUCGCAUAACAUUUGGUGCCGAAAGCCCGGGAUAGGGGAACUCCUCUGGCAGACCUCUCCUCUAUCCUCCCCGUACCCACGUUCUCGCAUGCAAGAGACUUCCCUCGCCCUCAGGACCUCAGACCAGCUCCGCGAGCACUCCGGCCUCUGUCUAUGGAUCUGAAAUCCAGCACUGGUCACGGACUCUUCUUGGGGAGACAGUCUUCCCUCAGUGUUUGGUCAAUGCCAGGGACGCCCGCCUUGGCCAUUUGCCAGCCACACAACCCAGGACCUCCACUGGGGACGCCCACUGAGGAUCCUAGUGGUUGCUCUUUUCCUUGUCUCUUUCUUUCCCCCCAAUCUUUCCUUGUUCUAUCAUGGGCAAUCUCCCGCCCUCCAUCCCUCUUUCUUCUCUCUGGCUUGUGUCCUCAGAAACCUCAAACCUCUUCAGCUUGCACCCAAUCUAAAGGCUAAACGUCUAAUUUUUUUCUGUAACACGUCCUGGCCCCAAUAUAAAUUAGACAAUGGCGCUCAGUGGCCGGAAAACGGCACUUCCAAUUUCUCUAUUUUGUGGGACUUAGACAACUUCUAUGGCAAAAUGGGCAAAUGGUCUGAGGUACCCUACUUCCAGGCAUUUUUUACAUACGAUCUCUCCCUAGCCUAUGCUUCCACUGUAAUCCAUCCCCAAUUUUCCUUAUUUCCCUUCCGUCUACCCCUCCUUCUUCCACUGGCGAUGCUGACUCCUCUUUGUCUGUUGACCCCUCCGAUCUUUCUCCCCCACCACCUAUCCAAACCUGCUUUAAUUCCCCCCCAGAACCUAUUUCUACCCACAACCCACCCCCUUAUGCCUCUCCCAUUAUCACCCUUCCUCACAUCCUGUCUGGCUUACAGUUUGGGCCUGCGACCAACCCCCAGGCCCCUGCCUAGCAAUUUCCCCUCGGAGAGGCGGCAGGAACCAAAGGAAUAGUUCAGGUUCAGGUCCCUUUCUCCCUGUUUGACCUUGCCCAAAUUAGUGAACAUCUAGGCUCUUUCCCAUCUGACCCCACCAAAUAUAUACAAGAAUUCCAAUACUUUACCCAGUCCUAUAAUCUUACUUGGAAUGACUUAAAUGUCAUCCUUACCUCUACUCUCGCUCCUGAGGAGUGAGAGUGGGUUUGGAUCCUAGCUCAGUCUUAGGCUGAUAACCGCCGGUGCCGUGAGCCUGGCCUCCAGUAAGGUGCUAGGGCAGUACCCUGUGAAGACCCUGGAUGGACUUACCAGGCCGCGGACCGAGGCAUAGCCAGGCGGGACUACAUGAUCUCUUGCCUAGUUCAAGGGCUUCAGAAGGCUGCAUAUAAAGCCAUCAAUUAUGACAAA
RNAcentral lists this long non-coding RNA (1599 nucleotides) under Pongo abelii (Sumatran orangutan). Its description in RNAcentral is "lincRNA". The record is from RNAcentral. Lineage: Eukaryota; Metazoa; Chordata; Mammalia; Primates; Hominidae.